CCCCUCUCAGGAUUGCACCUGGAAAGUUUCCAGUACUCUCCCAGUCUCGGCUAUGGGAGGGAGAGUUAAGCAGAGACUUAACUCCAUUCCAUUCCUAGCUUGGGCAGUGGCUAGCGAGUGGUAGGUAAUCUGCUACGAGU
Tachyglossus aculeatus (Australian echidna) is the source of this 140-nucleotide small nucleolar RNA. The record is from RefSeq and is a predicted model, not a curated record. Lineage: Eukaryota; Metazoa; Chordata; Mammalia; Monotremata; Tachyglossidae.